RNAcentral lists this long non-coding RNA (3715 nucleotides) under Pelobates cultripes (western spadefoot toad). Lineage: Eukaryota; Metazoa; Chordata; Amphibia; Anura; Pelobatidae. The record is from RNAcentral.
GGCCAAUCACAGCCAUGCCAUUAGUAGGCAUGGCUGUGAUGGCUUCUAAGGGCACACGAGUCAAACGCUUGUUGAUUAGCUGCUCUGCAGCCUUUCAAAACGCGCCAUUAUAUCUCUGAACACCGAACUCCAACCUGAACAUACGGUGAUUUGCCUGUGUUCGGAUCCGGGGACCUAAUGUUCGGUACGAACCUGAACUUUACAGUCCGGGUUUGCUCAACUCUAUUUAAUAUGCAAUAAUUUCAAAUCAUUUACAGAUUACGUGAUGCAAAUCUGUGUAAGAAACACCUUAACGUGUGCUGUAUUUACUUUUAUUGCAGAAGAUCUUAUUGGCACUUGCUGUAGCCCUUUCCGUAUCAGUUGCCCUUUCGAGUGCUGCGUGCUCUUUUAAAAAACUGACAUUAAAUGUUAAAACAAGAUCUGCAGGUAAGACAUGUAUAUGUAAAUGUAAGGUUUUUAUAGUUUCUCACAUUUGCCCUUUCAGGUGGAGGGUGGCAAGUGAAGAAGAGGCAAUUGCCCUGGAUCACUAGCUUACGAGGCUUGUGGACAAGGGAGUUGAUAGAUGGCAAAAAGACCUGUGGCUUCUCCAGUAAUACAUGGAUCAUUCUAUGAAGUCAAUGAACAUGUAUACAGUCAGGUUUACUCUAGAUUACUGCAGUAAUAAAUGGAUGGUGCUAUUAAAAACAUCUGAAAUAUUUACUUUUUCAACAAAUUAAAUAAACACGAAUGUUUAUAAAUAUUUAUUAUUUUAGUAUGCACGAAAGAUGGAGAAGUUCAUGAAAUUGGUGACGAAUGGAAGGGUCCAAGCUGUGAGAAGUGCAGUUGUAGUAACAAUGGAAUGCAGUGCUGUUCUACGUAAGUAUUAUCUCUGUAUGAAUUUUAAGCAAAAAAAAGACAUUUUACCUUACUUGAAGGGACCCUCAAGGCACCAUAACCACUAUACAAUGGUGCACUUGUUAUGGUGCCAAAAGUCUUCAAACUCCAUCUGUCACUAAUAUGUCAAACUGUUUAUGAAUGGUUUCACACUUAGCUUGCGGUGUCAGGCCCUUAUGGUCCUUCCAGUCUAAGAUGGACUGAUAAAGCAGAAGUUCAAUCUCCUAGGUUAUCAUGCAACUAGUUAAUUUUCCCAGAUUAUCAUGCACCUCAUACCAGGUUUAAAAGGUUUUUCCUGGCUGAGAGCCAUCAGCUAAUAUUCUCCAAUGAAAACUCUCUAAACACCAUGAACUUCAGCCUUGUAAGGCCAACUCAGAACGGAAGGGCUGUGGGCACCUGACACAGCAAGGUAAAUGUUAAACCGUUCAUAAGCAUUUUGAUAGAUAAGGGACUGGAGACUCCUGGCACCAACUCAAAAAUAUUUAUUUCUGAGUAGAUAAUUAAAAGAAAAAAAAUGAAAUAUGCCUCUUGCCUAUCCUAUCCCUAUUAUUUAGUAAUGACAUAUUUUGCUGUAAUUACAGAGUUAUGUAUAAUCCAGUCGUGCAAAAACUGUUUGUGAUAUAUUUGCCCAUUUUUCUUAGCAGGUUUGCUCCAGCUGGUUUAAGUUGGUUGGUUGCUGCUUGUAGACUACAUUUUUCAAAUCGGCCACAAUGUCUCAGUAGAAAAGAUAAGGACCUUGACUAGACCACUGCAGGAUAUUCACAUUUUUAAACACAAUUUAGCCUCUAUUUCUUUCAAACACACUCUAAAGCCCCUAUCCACCGAAAGUCUCUUUUUACAUGCACACGCAACCCCCCAGCAGCAUCCUUCCAACAAAUGCAACCCUAUAUGUGACCUCCCUUCACACAUUCAAAACCAUAAGAAGACUUCCCCCACACAUGCAACUCUAGAAAGAGCCUCCCAUACCCAGAAACCCACAGGCAGCACACACAGAACUCCACAAGGAGCAUCCUCCACACUACAAGCUGUCACCCCGUACACAACCAAUCCCACAUGAAACACCAUGAGCAGCUUCCUGACAUGCACAAAACCACACAAGCAGCCAUAACACACAAAUUUACAUACAAGAAUAUCUCGUAGUCCAGUCUCACUUUUGUAAUCUGGUAUCCCACUUAUCUGGACACCAGAGCCAGGUCACCAGCAAACGCAGAAAAAAAUGUGUCAUUAGGUUUUCUUGUGUUGUGUGAAAAAACAUAGCAAAUUUUCCCCAUGUGAGACACUGUGCAUGGGCUGUCCUGGAGGUGCCCUGAACUGACAUAACACUUUGCCCUGCCCCUGUUAUUGGGCAGCUCUGUAUUUUAAUGUCUGGGAUAAAUGUCUGGGAUAAACUUUUGUCCCAGUCUAGCCCUAUUUACAAGGCAUGUAAAGUUUAUAAGAAGAAAAAAGAUACCAAAAGACUACAACGGUAUAUAAUGCCAGGAGAACAAUACCAGAGCUGUCCUGGGAAUAGCCCUUCUGUGAAUAAAAUUCAAAAUUGAACAAAAAAAGAAACUGUUACCAGAGAAAAUACGGAGAAGUAUACAACUGGUAUUGUAAUAAAGAUUAUCAUGAGUAUUAAAAAAAAAAAAAAUCUAAUUGGACAAACUAAUAUAUAGUAACUGUAUUCACACCCAGAGUUAGUACAUCGAUCUUAUCCUGUCUAGAAACCCCCUGAACUGAAAAAGGGGAAUAUCGGCAUUUCCUUUGCUACCAGUUUCUACUUUUGUUAAGUUUUGACAUAUAGUUUAUGUAUACUACUGGACUAUAACAGUCUGUUAAAUAAUUAAGCACCUUUAAUUCUCUAAACAAAAUAUAAUUUUAAUAUUUAUGGCAAAUUGAUGCAUACUUAUUGCAAUCUGUAUUUUGGUUCUGACUUCUAUAGAUCUAGAGGAGUGAGAGUUGAGGAUUAUUCAAUCAAAUCCUCAGCUACUGCUUUAUAUGUCAAGGCAUUUACUUUUCAUCCGAUUCUCACAGCAACCCAAAGUUGUAAAGAAUUAAUUCCCAUUGACUUUACUGAGAAUUAAAAUGGGAUGCUAAAGCGUAUGUGGUGGUUGGAGGGUGACUAUCAUGGCAGCUUCCAAAGGAUGUACCAUUCAUCCUGGCUUUACCUCAAGUGAAAGAAAGUCAGAUUAACUUGAAAUUUCUCUAUGCUGCACAUUAGUCAAACUCCAGUUCUGAUAACCCAAGUAAUAUCACAUCUUAAGUCGACUCUGGUGAAGUUGGUUCUUGAUAUAUAGACGGGACAGUUACAGUUAUUGUCACAAAUUCUCAUUAAUAAACUAAUAAAUAUUAUUUAACCUAAUCUAAUUUAAAAUGCAAGUUAGCAAUAUAUUUUAUAAAGGCAAGCUUUUAGUGCUACUGUUUGUAUCUGCUUCAUUACUCUUUUUUGAAAAUAUUAUAAUUAUUUUUUCACCAUAACAGCUCAAGAAGACCUCAAAACUUUGAUAAGGAGGAAUGCAAAAUGAUUUUUAAUAAAGAAAGCUGCAAUUAUGAGGUGGUGAGAAAGGAUGACUCAUCACAAGAAUGCAAGGUCACGUCAUAUGUUUUGGGUUAAAACAACACAUUUUGCUACAACCCAAUUCACUCUAAAAAGUUAAUGUUCCAUCUCUACAAGGAGGAGAAAAUUUUUCCUAUUCAAAGAGAAAUUUAAUCUUCUGAUCUUCACAUACAUGCAUCAAUCAAUGAUAUUAAAGUACUCAUGCUAUUGAUGAAAUAAAAAUAUACAUUAAAUCAAGAGAAGUGGAAAUGUUGUGGUGUUCAAAUGUGUACAACUAUAUACUGAACAUUAUGCAGUUAAUUAAAG